UCUGCUGCUCCACUUAAAUUCCUGUUCAAUCCAAGAAUGCCCUCAUCCCCCCUGUGAUCCCAACAGCCAAACCAUUUGGGAAUGACUGUAUUUUGUUUCUUUCUACAUGUUCCAUUACUGCCUCCUCAAAGGUUGUCCUGCAAGAACAGAUGUUAAGUCUGCCAUCCCCUCCUUGUACUGCUGUUGCUAAAAAAGCACCAGUCCGCUCCCAAAUGGGGAGAAAUCCCAAAAGGAAGAGGAUUUCUGGUUGCAGAGAAGCUGUCAGGAUGGAGUGCAGUUUGGUAUUCACAGAGCGGCGUCAGCCCUGCACAUAGCCCGGGUGGUGCUGAGUGUUGGGGAGAUCCUGCAGAUCAGUGCUGCCUGAACCACACUGAUAAAGUCUCCAGGCCUCUUCCUUGGGGAGGAAGCUUUUCUCCUGUGCGAUAUGAUGCCCUAGCUGGGGUUUGCGCUGAAACCAAAGUGUGGAUCUGGACUCCUUGGAGACUGAAAUGAGGGAAUUUAUCAGCAGAUAGCAGAUGAGUGAGAAUAGGUGUCUUCUGUGAUGUGACUGUGACUUAGAGUGAUUGAUGUGAUGGCUGCUGUCACUUUGGCCAAACGUCCUGAGCCUGGAACUUGGGGUGUUCAGGAAGAAUUUCU
Molecule: non-coding RNA, 636 nt
Organism: Cyanistes caeruleus (blue tit)
Lineage: Eukaryota; Metazoa; Chordata; Aves; Passeriformes; Paridae
Source: RefSeq, a predicted model, not a curated record